AGUGGACGCUGGCGGUAGGCCUAACACAUGCAAGUCGAACGGCAGCACAGUAAGAGCUUGCUCUUACGGGUGGCGAGUGGCGGACGGGUGAGGAAUACAUCGGAAUCUACUUUUUCGUGGGGGUUAACGUAGGGAAACUUACGCUAAUACCGCAUACGACCUACGGGUGAAAGCAGGGGAUCUUCUGACCUUGCGCGAUUGAAUGAGCCGAUGUCGGAUUAGCUAGUUGGGGGGGUAAAGGCCCACCAAGGCGACGAUCCGUAGCUGGUCUGAGAGGAUGGUCGGCCACACUGGAACUGAGACACGGUCCAGACUCCUACGGGAGGCAGCAGUGGGGAAUAUUGGACAAUGGGCGCAAGCCUGAUCCAGCCAUACCGCGUGGGUGAAGAAGGCCUUCGGGUUGUAAAGCCCUUUUGUUGGGAAAGAAAAGCAGCAGGUUAAUACCCCGCUGUUCUGACGGUACCCAAAGAAUAAGCACCGGCUAACUUCGUG
This 492-nucleotide ribosomal RNA is filed under the name uncultured bacterium. RNAcentral describes it as "partial 16S ribosomal RNA". It matches the Rfam family "Bacterial small subunit ribosomal RNA", at positions 29 to 507 of the family's 1533-position model. The record is from RNAcentral.